GCGUACGGAGCGGGCACGACGCUGACACGUCCGAGGACCGACCUGUGGCGUAAGGAGCGCCGCGGUUUGGUUUUGGUUUGUUUCCUAAGGACCUUACAGAGAAGCUCCCAGGUCAGAAGACAGAGACAUCCGGACGAAGCCUGCAGGUUCUCUUCAUCUGAGGCUGACUUGAUAAAUUCUCUAUUAUCUGAGAACAACUGGCAGACUAGGAAAGGUCUUUGAGAAAAAGAGGAUCGGGCAGGCUUGAAGAAAAGAAAUAGCCAGCCAGAUGACAGGAAAGUGUUGAAGCUGGUUUUUAUUUGAAUCUCGAUCACCGUCCAUCCCUAACUCCAAGACAUCAUUCCUGCCUGCAUCGGAUGAAGCUCCCCACCCCUCGUCAUCCUCGGGUAUGUGUCUGCUAAGUUUGUGAUUCAACCUUUAAAGCGCCCUGGAGUAAAGCCACAGUGCCAUUC
Long non-coding RNA from Mus musculus (house mouse), 452 nucleotides. RefSeq annotates it as predicted gene, 36246. NCBI's taxonomy places the organism in Eukaryota, Metazoa, Chordata, Mammalia, Rodentia, Muridae. The transcript is spliced from 3 exons. The record is from RefSeq and is marked validated.